ACUUUGUUGGCUAAAACUAACUGCUUGAUCCUAAUCCCACCCAGUUCCAAGGAAACAGAAGAGACAGCUUUCUACUCCCAAAAAGGACAGAAGGAAUGUGUCUUCUCAAGUACAGGCAAUACUGCCCAAGCCUGGCUUAUUUGUGCAUAUAAACCUACAGUUAACACCCUGCCAUUUGUCAUGGGUGUCCUUCCAUGGCUAUUUCUAUUUCUUACCUAAAGAACCCUGAGGACGGUGGGACGCAUGCUCAUUUUCCUGUGCUGUUCUUAGGAUGGAAUAUUAAACACCCCUGCUAAUAAAAUUAAUAC
RNAcentral lists this long non-coding RNA (308 nucleotides) under Mus musculus (house mouse). RNAcentral describes it as "Riken cDNA A530021J07 gene". Lineage: Eukaryota; Metazoa; Chordata; Mammalia; Rodentia; Muridae. The record is from RNAcentral.